This 446-nucleotide ribosomal RNA is filed under the name uncultured bacterium. RNAcentral describes it as "partial 16S ribosomal RNA". It matches the Rfam family "Bacterial small subunit ribosomal RNA", at positions 338 to 795 of the family's 1533-position model. The record is from RNAcentral.
CCUACGGGUGGCUGCAGUCGAGAAUCAUUCACAAUGGGGGAAACCCUGAUGGUGCGACGCCGCGUGGGGGAAUGAAGGUCUUCGGAUUGUAAACCCCUGUCAUGUGGGAGCAAAUUAAAAAGAUAGUACCACAAGAGGAAGAGACGGCUAACUCUGUGCCAGCAGCCGCGGUAAUACAGAGGUCUCAAGCGUUGUUCGGAAUCACUGGGCGUAAAGCGUGUGUAGGCUGUUUCGUAAGUCGUGUGUGAAAGGCGCGGGCUCAACCCGCGGACGGCAGAUGAUACUGGGAGACUAGAGUAAGGGAGGGGGAACCGGAAUUCGCGGUGUAGCAGUGAAAUGCGUAGAUAUCGAGAGGAACACUCGGUGCGAAGGCGGGUUCCUGGACAUUAACUGACGCUGAGGCACGAAGGCCAGGGGAGCGAAAGGGAUUAGAUACCCGAGUAGUC